ACUUGCUCCCGGCGCACGGCUGUCCCGGUGAGCUUAUAAUUGGCUCGUGCGUGCAUCUGCGUGCGGUGUUGGAUUCGGCAAACCAGCGCCGUGCGCGCGUCCGGCCAGAGCGCGCGCGUCAGGCAUCGCCACGGGAGUGGCGCAAGGUGCCUCUUGGCUUGGUGUCGCCGUGUCGGGUCCGUGCGCUUCCGGCUCCGGGGGCCCGUGGGAUUUUGUUCGGUGCCCACAACCACAAGUGGCCGUUUUCCCCCCCG
RNAcentral lists this long non-coding RNA (254 nucleotides) under Brachypodium distachyon (stiff brome). RNAcentral's name for it is "long non-coding RNA (BDIS_LNC001830)". The record is from RNAcentral. Lineage: Eukaryota; Viridiplantae; Streptophyta; Magnoliopsida; Poales; Poaceae.